GUGAAUGAUCAAGCAGAUAAGCAACUUUAAAGUUUAGUUGCACUAAUUACAAAUUAAGCAUAGUUGAUGAUCAAGCAGAUCAUGCAACUAAAGUUCAGUUGACUAUUAUAUUAAGCAUUAGUUGAUGAUCAACAGAUAAGCAACUUUAGAGUUUAGUUGACUAUCUUUAACGCAUUAGUUGACGAUCAACAGAU
Notothenia coriiceps (black rockcod) is the source of this 194-nucleotide long non-coding RNA. RefSeq lists it as uncharacterized. The record is from RefSeq and is a predicted model, not a curated record. The transcript is spliced from 3 exons. NCBI's taxonomy places the organism in Eukaryota, Metazoa, Chordata, Actinopteri, Perciformes, Nototheniidae.